Non-coding RNA from Panus rudis PR-1116 ss-1, 91 nucleotides. NCBI's taxonomy places the organism in Eukaryota, Fungi, Basidiomycota, Agaricomycetes, Polyporales, Panaceae. The record is from the annotation of a GenBank genome assembly.
CCUUCGAUAGCUCAGCUGGAAGAGCGUGAGACUGUAAUUGGAUUACGUAAUCAUUAUCUCAAGGUCGCUGGUUCGAACCCGGCUCGAAGGA